AGACAUCGCCCUCAUCCAGGAGCCUUGGGUGAUAGGGCAUGGAAUAUGCGGGCUGAAGUCGGCAGAGCACACUUUGAUAAGUGGAGCUACCAUAGUUCAGUGACGAGGACACCACCACCAUCAGUCUGGAGGCGAACGGACGACAAAUAAGGCUUGCCUCGAUGUAUCUGGCACAUGACAGGCCUGUUCCAACCCUACCGGUCGAACAUUUAGUGGAGCGCUGGGACGGGGCCCUGAUUCUAGGAGGUGAUGCAAAUGCACACCAUAGCACAUGGGGAAGUGGAGACAUCAAUGAACGGGGUGAGUCACUCUUUGAAUUCAUACUAAAAUCUAACUUAGUUAUAAGUAAUAGGGGUAGCGAGCCUACCUUCAUAACGAAGAGCAGAAGAGAGGUCCUGGAUGUUACCCUCGUCUCAGAAGAUGCGGAGGUCAUGAUCAGGAACUGGAGGGUGCUUGAUGAGCAUUCCUUCUCUGAUCAUCGCUUCAUCCAAUUCGACUUAGACGGGGUCCCGUCCAAGGUACCUGCCAAAAGAAAUCUAAGGAAAGCCGACUGGCAUAAGUACA
Molecule: long non-coding RNA, 564 nt
Organism: Rhagoletis pomonella (apple maggot)
Lineage: Eukaryota; Metazoa; Arthropoda; Insecta; Diptera; Tephritidae
Exons: 2
Source: RefSeq, a predicted model, not a curated record